GAUAUCUCCCACCUAGAAAACAAACUGACCCCCCUCAUAGAGAAACUAAUCUAUUCCUUCUUGAUGCCAACACUAACCCAUCAAAAUGAAACCAACCUCCACUAUCCCGACACCAUCCUUCACUGAAAAGAGCCCCUUAGACAUGACAAUUAAAGAAAUGAUUACUCUGCUCAAAAGGAAAUGAAGGUUGGUGAAGGCAUCCCCCAAGGAAACUCCCAUCGAUUCGUCUCAAACCGUCUCUUUCAAACCCACUCAGAUCACUGAACCCGAACCCGAACCCGAACCCAUCUAAAAGAAGAGAAAAGAAUGUGAAGAGCCAUUCUCAGAUCCACCCACCAAAAGACUCCAUAUUGAAAAGACCUCUGAACCCCAUCUACAACAAACAAUAACUCCCCAACCAAACGGAUCUCCUUCUACCUCCGCCCAAACACGAGAAGUCCUUACCUCGAUGCCGUUAUGACUGGAGGAUCCAGAAGAUUAUUUGUUUGAGCUCUUUGAGAACUUCAUUCUUUGAAAAGAUGGUGACAGAUUCAAAGACUUCACCCCCACAAUAACUUAUGGCUGCCAGCAUAAUGCACUAGGGUCGGGUAACUAUAACCUCAUAUACUAUAUAUGGAUUCUUCCUACUUCAUUUAAUUCUAAAUAAUAUAUUUCAUCUCCCAGUCCAAUGCUGCUUAUGCCCAAACUUUACGUCGACUGUCUAAAAUAAUAGCUAAAGAGAAAGAAUUAGAAGCUGAAAUCGUCCGCCUUCAUAUUAGAGUUCAAGUCGUGACGUCUGGCCUCGAAAAGGAAUGGUGUCUACAUGUCACUGCCAGGAGCUGACACGUGAAUUGAAGACAAUAAAGUGGCAGUUCUCCGAGAUAGCCGAACAAAGAAAAAAAUUAUAGUAGAUCGAGUCAAUGUGAAAGAAAUGAACGAAAGGAUGAAGAAGAUCGUGACAAAGAUAAUAGAUUUGAUCAAGGCCAACGACACGUUGGAUAAGAAAUAUUCAUAGCUAAAAGCCAAAGGUCUUCCAAUGACUGAAGCUGCUAAACAACAAUUCAUCGCUUAUUACAAGGUCUCUCCCCAACUGAGAAAGGAUUUUAUGAACCAAUUUGGAGACGACUACUAGAGUACAAGAGCGAAGGACAUAGAAAAACUGUUAGCAGUCGGUCUUAACCCGUCAAUCAUCGAUUCUUUCGAUUAAGAGUCCGAGGCCGAAGAUGACCCCCUAACCGUCC
Molecule: long non-coding RNA, 1220 nt
Filed under: Panax ginseng (ginseng)
Lineage: Eukaryota; Viridiplantae; Streptophyta; Magnoliopsida; Apiales; Araliaceae
Description: long non-coding RNA (PGIN_LNC002727)
Source: RNAcentral